UGACUCUAUUUUAAAGGCA
Molecule: small nuclear RNA, 19 nt
Filed under: Arabidopsis thaliana (thale cress)
Lineage: Eukaryota; Viridiplantae; Streptophyta; Magnoliopsida; Brassicales; Brassicaceae
Description: snRNA_17352
Source: RNAcentral